Molecule: ribosomal RNA, 625 nt
Filed under: uncultured bacterium
Lineage: Bacteria
Description: bacterial SSU rRNA
Rfam family: Bacterial small subunit ribosomal RNA
Source: RNAcentral
GUCGAGCGAGAACAGAGACUUCGGUCUCUCAGUAAAGCGGCGGACGGGUGAGUAACACGUGGAUAAUCUGCCCUUUGGCGGGGGACAACAAUUCGAAAGGAUUGCUAAUACCGCAUAAGUCUAACGAGCCUCCGGGUUCGUUAGGGAAAGAUGGCCUCUUCUUGAAAGCCGUCACCGAAGGAUGAGUCCGCGUUGCAUCAGCUUGUUGGUGGGGUAAUGGCCUACCAAGGCGAAGACGCAUAGCUGGUCUGAGAGGAUGAUCAGCCACACUGGGACUGAGAUACGGCCCAGACUCCUACGGGAGGCAGCAGUGGGGAAUAUUGGACAAUGGGCGAAAGCCUGAUCCAGCCAUCCCGCGUGAGUGAUGAAGGCUCUCGGGUCGUAAAGCUCUGUGGGGAGAGACGAAACCUGAUCGGUUAAUACCCGGUCAACUGACGGUAUCUCUUUAGCAAGCACCGGCUAACUCCGUGCCAGCAGCCGCGGUAAUACGGAGGGUGCAAACGUUGCUCGGAAUCAUUGGGCGUAAAGCGCGCGUAGGCGGCUUGAUAAGUCGAAUGUGAAAGCCCUCGGCUUAACCGGGGAAGUGCAUACGAAACUGUCAGGCUUGAGUAUGGGAGAGGAUUGC